RNAcentral lists this ribosomal RNA (305 nucleotides) under uncultured eukaryote. RNAcentral describes it as "partial 18S ribosomal RNA". It matches the Rfam family "Eukaryotic small subunit ribosomal RNA", at positions 1470 to 1796 of the family's 1831-position model. The record is from RNAcentral.
CCCUUAGAUGUUCUGGGCCGCACGCGCGCUACACUGAUGCACUCAACGAGUCUGCCUUGUCCGAAAGGUCCGGGUAACCUUUUGAAAUUGCAUCGUGAUGGGGAUAGAUCCUUGCAAUUUUUGAUCUUAAACGAGGAAUUCCUAGUAAGCGCGAGUCAUCAACUCGCGUUGAUUACGUCCCUGCCCUUUGUACACACCGCCCGUCGCUACUACCGAUUGAAUGCUUGUAUGAGGCCUUUGGAUUGGCACCCUGUGCUGAGAAAAUGAACAAAUACCAGCAUUUAGAGGAAGUAAAAGUCGUAACA